RNAcentral lists this ribosomal RNA (488 nucleotides) under uncultured bacterium. RNAcentral's name for it is "bacterial SSU rRNA". It matches the Rfam family "Bacterial small subunit ribosomal RNA", at positions 8 to 518 of the family's 1533-position model. The record is from RNAcentral.
AGAAUUUGAUCUUGGUUCAGGACGAACGCUGGCGGCGUGCUUAACACAUGCAAGUUGAACGGUAUGACAUGGAAGCUUGCUGAAGUGUCAUAUAGUAGCGGACGGGUGAGUAAUGCAUGAGAAGCUGCCAUUGGAGGGGGACGAACAGUUGGAAACGGCUGCUAAUACCCCGUAUGCCGGAAGGUGAAAGGGAGCGAUCCGCCCGAUGAGGUGCUCAUGUCCUAUCAGCUGGUUGGUGGGGUAACGGCCUACCAAGGCGACGACGGGUAGCCGGCCUGAGAGGGUGAACGGCCACACUGGAACUGAGAUACGGUCCAGACUCCUACGGGAGGCAGCAGUGGGGAAUAUUGGGCAAAUGGGGGCAACCCUGACCCAGCGACGCCGCGUGGGGGAAGACGGCCUUCGGGUUGUAAACCUCUUUUGUACGGGAAGAAGGAAGUGACGGUACUGUACGAAUAAGUCCCGGCUAACUACGUGCCAGCCGCAGC